CGCUGGCGGCGUGCCUAACACAUGCAAGUCGAGCGAGGAGAUCCUUCGGGAUGAUCCUAGCGGCGGACGGGUGAGUAACACGUGGGCAACCUGCCUUAUAGAGAGGAAUAGCCUUCCGAAAGGGAGAUUAAUACCUCAUAACAUUGCAGUUUCGCAUGAAACAGCAAUUAAAGGAGCAAUCCGCUAUGAGAUGGGCCCGCGGCGCAUUAGCUAGUUGGUGAGGUAACGGCUCACCAAGGCGACGAUGCGUAGCCGACCUGAGAGGGUGAUCGGCCACAUUGGGACUGAGACACGGCCCAGACUCCUACGGGAGGCAGCAGUGGGGAAUAUUGCACAAUGGGGGAAACCCUGAUGCCAGCAACGCCGCGUGAGUGAUGACGGCCUUCGGGUUGUAAAGCUCUGUCUUCAGGGACGAUAAUGACGGUACCUGAGGAGGAAGCCACGGCUAACUACGUGCCAGCCGCCGC
Molecule: ribosomal RNA, 467 nt
Filed under: uncultured bacterium
Lineage: Bacteria
Description: bacterial SSU rRNA
Rfam family: Bacterial small subunit ribosomal RNA
Source: RNAcentral